RNAcentral lists this ribosomal RNA (492 nucleotides) under uncultured bacterium. RNAcentral's name for it is "partial 16S ribosomal RNA". It matches the Rfam family "Bacterial small subunit ribosomal RNA", at positions 29 to 507 of the family's 1533-position model. The record is from RNAcentral.
AGUGAACGCUGGCGGUAGGCCUAACACAUGCCAGUCGAACGGCAGCACAGUAAGAGCUUGCUCUUACGGGUGGCGAGUGGCGGACGGGUGAGGAAUACAUCGGAAUCUACUUUUUCGUGGGGGAUAACGUAGGGAAACUUACGCUAAUACCGCAUACGACCUACGGGUGAAAGCAGGGGAUCUUCGGACCUUGCGCGAUUGAAUGAGCCGAUGUCGGAUUAGCUAGUUGGCGGGGUAAAGGACCACCAAGGCGACGAUCCGUAGCUGGUCUGAGAGGAUGAUCAGCCACACUGGAACUGAGACACGGCCCAGACUCCUACGGGAGGCAGCAGUGGGGAAUAUUGGACAAUGGGCGCAAGCCUGAUCCAGCCAUACCGCGUGGGUGAAGAAGGCCUUCGGGUUGUAAAGCCCUUUUGUUGGGAAAGAAAAGCAGCAGGUUAAUACCCCGCUGUUCUGACGGUACCCAAAGAAUAAGCACCGGCUAACUUCGUG